GCUCAGUCAAGCACAGUAAAGUAUUUAGAAAGAAAGCAAAUACUAUUUGAACCCAGGUUUGCUACUAGCCCACUUCAAAGAAGUAGAAUGAGGAGGAGGAGUGUAGGUACGUGUCUGAGUGUGUGUUUAGGGUUUACGUUAGGGGAAAAGGUGUCUGAGGUUGUGUUUAGGGUUUACGUUAGGAGAAAAGGUGUCUGAGGGUGUGUUUAGGGUUUACGUUAGGGGAAAAGGUGUCUGAGGGUGUGUUUAGGGUUUACGUUAGGGGAAAAGGUGUCUGAGCGUGUGUUUAGGGUUUACGUUAGGAGAAAAGGUGUCUGAGUGUGUGUUUAGGGUUUAUGUUAGGGGAAAAGGUGUCUGAGCGUGUGUUUAGGGUUUACGUUAGGGGAAAAGGUGUCUGAGUGUGUGUUUAGGGUUUACGUUAGG
This 423-nucleotide long non-coding RNA is filed under the name Salmo salar (Atlantic salmon). RNAcentral describes it as "lncRNA (ENSSSAG00000097981.1)". Lineage: Eukaryota; Metazoa; Chordata; Actinopteri; Salmoniformes; Salmonidae. The record is from RNAcentral.